CUAUAUAUUCAUGCUUAUAACUGUCUCUUCUAGAGACAAAUUUUAUGACUUCUGAUCUCAAAUCAGGUAGGACUACCCGCUGAACUUAAGCAUAU
RNAcentral lists this ribosomal RNA (95 nucleotides) under Hydnophlebia alachuana. RNAcentral describes it as "Ceriporia alachuana partial 28S ribosomal RNA". Lineage: Eukaryota; Fungi; Basidiomycota; Agaricomycetes; Polyporales; Meruliaceae. The record is from RNAcentral.